UAUUCUAUCUAUAGAGAGAAAAAUAAUUCAAUUUACACAUGGCUUAAGAUAGAUUUUACUGACUGUAAUGUUACAACUAGAUAAGUUUCAACUAGAUUACUGAUUGUAAUCUAUAGAGACUGUAAUAUUACAACUAGAUAAGUUUAGGGACAGUUGUCAAAAUUUAUCCUGAUUUGAUAACACUUAAGAAUUUGAGAUAUGCAAUGAUUGAUAGAUUUUAUGUCAAGGUGGAAAUUGUUAGAUUUAUGACCCAAAUAAUUAGUUUGGAAGACCUUUUCUAAAUUUGAGUAGAAGAAAUAUUGGAAUAUUUUCUAUAUGGAGUAGAACUCUUUUUUGAAUAUUAUUUCUAAAUUAAGUGAGAUUUCUAAUUAGAUUAGGAUUAAGGAAAUUAACAUUAUAAAUAGAAGAAUGAUGAAAAAGUUAUUUGGCUUUAUUCAUAGAGAGUGGCUUUGCCAAUAAAGAGGAGCUUUGUCCAUUGAAAAUGACAACUUUUAGCUUAUAGAAUGGAGCAGUCGCUCAUUGUAGAGAAUGAUUUUGUCAAUUGCUGAGGAUUUGACUUUAAUAAUUGUAGUCCCGUUAAGGGAGAAAGACUUUGGUAUAAGGUAGAGAAAUAACAUAGAAUUCAAAAGGAAUGAAUUUUUAUCCAUUGAAGGCUCUUGCACAUAUAGUUAAAGACACCUUUUGUAGUAGUUAUAGUAGAAAAUAUAUAGGGUUACUUCUAGAGGAGACUGAUAGGACUAACUACAAUAUUUACUAUGACAAGUGUUAUGUAAGGGUUCUCUUGGAUGUAAUAAUUAGGUUUAUAGGUAAUAUAGUUUUGAACUUGUAAUUUAUGAUUAUAUUUAUUUAUUAAUAGUGAAAGAUUGUAUGCCCGCAGAAAUAACCUUAUAUAGAAAGGGCAAACCACGUAAAUAUUAGUAUUUUAUGUAUUUAUUUUAUUUCUUUAUAGUUUACACACUUCCACGGUAUAUAACACUUCACAUUGUAAAUUUCUAGCUCUAACUAUGAAGGGAUGCAUUAAGAUUCCAAAUUGGAUAGAUAAGAGGGCUAAAUGUUUCUUAUAUGACUUGGGUAAUCCUUUCCUCAAAAGAUGAUUUUUGAAGUGAUUUAAAGCUUGUAUUAGGACCAUAGUUGAGGAUAGUUUGCCAUAAUUCACAGACCUUCAUCCUAAUUAUAUGUCCAAUAUGAAAUACGCCUACUGUUGCAGAUGUUCUUGUACGUAGAUCAGAAUGUCUCAUUUGUUAGAUGUUAGAUAUUGAAACUCCGAAUAUAUGAACACUUCUCAAACUCUCCGUUAACUUAAAAAUAUACAUUUCAGAUUUCCAAUGGAAUUCUUUUAAUAUUUCAUUUGGUAUAGAAGUUGAGGUGUAGCUGGGGAAGCAUCUUCAGGUUUGAUGGUUGGGAAGAUGUCUGCCUUUGCUUGCUUAACCUAGCAAUACAAGUAUUUUAGAAAUUUUCCGAGUUGAAACUACCCUGCUAUGUUAUAUUUCAACCCUUGAGUAGUUUAUAUCCAAAACCCCAUCCAAUGUUCAUGCUGUGGCAGAUCAAAUAUGGGGCACUUUGAAGGCAGUGGUUUACCUGUCUCAUGCUAACUCCAUAACCAGAGCUAUUCUUAUUUGCUGCAAAGUUUGGUUUUAACAAGUUAUCUGCUAGACAUGGGUUAGGCUGGUUCUCAAAAGUCAUCCCAGAGUGAGAGAACACUGUAAUUUUAACAUUAUCAAGUAAAAGAAUAAAACUCA
This is a long non-coding RNA of Hevea brasiliensis (rubber tree), 1739 nucleotides long. RefSeq lists it as uncharacterized. The transcript is spliced from 2 exons. The record is from RefSeq and is a predicted model, not a curated record. NCBI's taxonomy places the organism in Eukaryota, Viridiplantae, Streptophyta, Magnoliopsida, Malpighiales, Euphorbiaceae.